Molecule: non-coding RNA, 107 nt
Organism: Gossypium hirsutum (cotton)
Lineage: Eukaryota; Viridiplantae; Streptophyta; Magnoliopsida; Malvales; Malvaceae
Source: Rfam
AUUCCAUGAUGAAGACACUUACGCAAUAAGUCCUUGAAUCGCUCCCAAGCCUCAUACAAAGACUCGUCAUCCAAUUGUUGGAAGGUUGUGAUCUCAUUCCUCAACUU